CCUGGCGAGUCGCCAAGAAUCUUGCCCGAUGCGCAUGUUACGGCGUAACCUGUUAACGCCGUAACAUUUACACGAAGGCAGCUGAAGACUGUUCGACUUGAUGACGCUGUUUGGUCAACGCCCCCUGCUGCUACCGCCGGCUCUCGUCUACCCACAAUUCAUUGCGAUGGGCCGUUAAACACGGGUUAACCGGUAGAAACGUGGAGACGUAAAACACCAUCAAGAGAGAGGACGGCACGUGGGCGUACAGCCUGGUGAAAUACAUGCACUCAGAAACAUUAAGGAUUAAAGAUGGAACAUUAAAACA
This is a long non-coding RNA of Cyclopterus lumpus (lumpfish), 307 nucleotides long. RefSeq lists it as uncharacterized. The record is from RefSeq and is a predicted model, not a curated record. The transcript has 2 exons. NCBI's taxonomy places the organism in Eukaryota, Metazoa, Chordata, Actinopteri, Perciformes, Cyclopteridae.